AACGUACGCUGGCGGCACGCCUAACACAUGCAAGUCGAACGAAGUAGCAAUACUUAGUGGCAGACGGGUGAGUAACAUGUAGGUAUCUGCCCUUUGGCCUGGAAUAACACGAGGAAACUUGUGCUAAUACCGGAUAAGUCUUUACGGAGAAAGCUUUAUGCACCAUUGGAUGAGCCUGCACUUGAUUAGUUUGUUGGUGGGGUAAUGGCCUACCAAGACUGUGAUCAAUAGCUGAUUUGAGAGGAUGAUCAGCCACAUUGGGACUGAGACACGGCCCAAACUCCUACGGGAGGCAGCAGUGGGGAAUCUUGCACAAUGGAGGAAACUCUGAUGCAGCGAUGCCGCGUGAGUGAAGAAGGCCCUUGGGUUGUAAAGCUCUUUCGUCGGGGAAGAAAAUGACUGUACCCGAAUAAGAAGGUCCGGCUAACUUCGUGCCAGCAGCCGCGGUAAUACGAAGGGACCUAGCGUAGUUCGGAAUUACUGGGCUUAAAGAGUUCGUAGGUGGUUGAAAAAGUUAGUGGUGAAAUCCCAGAGCUUAACUCUGGAACUGCCAUUAAAACUUUUCAGCUAGAGUAUGAUAGAGGAAAGCAGAAUUUCUAGUGUAGAGGUGAAAUUCGUAGAUAUUAGAAAGAAUACCAAUUGCGAAGGCAGCUUUCUGGAUCAUUACUGACACUGAGGAACGAAAGCAUGGGUAGCGAAGAGGAUUAGAUACCCUCGUAGUCCAUGCCGUAAACGAUGUGUGUUAGACGUUGGAAAUUUAUUUUCAGUGUCGCAGGGAAACCGAUAAACACACCGCCUGGGGAGUACGACCGCAAGGUUAAAACUCAAAUGAAUUGACGGGGACCCGCACAAGUAGUGGAGCAUGUGGUUUAAUUCGAAGAUACGCGCAGAACCUUACCAACACUUGACAUGUUCGUCGCGACUCUAAGAGAUUAGAGUUUUCGGUUCGGCCGGACGAAACACAGGUGCUGCAUGGCUGUCGUCAGCUCGUGUCGUGAGAUGUUGGGUUAAGUCCCGCAACGAGCGCAACCCUCACUUUUAGUUGCCAUCAUUAAGUUGGGCACUCUGAAAGAACUGCCAGUGAUAAGCUGGAGGAAGGUGGGGAUGACGUCAAGUCCUCAUGGCCCUUACGUGUUGGGCUACACACGUGCUACAAUGGUAUCUACAACAGGAAGCAAGACUGCGAAGUUAAGCAAAUCCCUAAAAGAUACCUCAGUUCGGAUUGCACUCUGCAACUCGAGUGCAUGAGGCUGGAAUUACUAGUAAUCGUGGAUCAGCGUGCCACGGUGAAUGCGUUCCCGGGUCU
This 1306-nucleotide ribosomal RNA is filed under the name uncultured bacterium. RNAcentral's name for it is "bacterial SSU rRNA". It matches the Rfam family "Bacterial small subunit ribosomal RNA", at positions 28 to 1381 of the family's 1533-position model. The record is from RNAcentral.